UGGUGGGUAGUUUGACUGGGGCGGUCUCCUCCUAAAGAGUAACGGAGGAGCACGAAGGUUGGCUAAUCCUGGUCGGACAUCAGGAGGUUAGUGCAAUGGCAUAAGCCAGCUUGACUGCGAGCGUGACGGCGCGAGCAGGUGCGAAAGCAGGUCAUAGUGAUCCGGUGGUUCUGAAUGGAAGGGCCAUCGCUCAACGGAUAAAAGGUACUCCGGGGAUAACAGGCUGAUACCGCCCAAGAGUUCAUAUCGACGGCGGUGUUUGGCACCUCGAUGUCGGCUCAUCACAUCCUGGGGCUGAAGUAGGUCCCAAGGGUAUGGCUGUUCGCCAUUUAAAGUGGUACGCGAGCUGGGUUUAGAACGUCGUGAGACAGUUCGGUCCCUAUCUGCCGUGGGCGCUGGAGAAUUGAGGGGGGCUGCUCCUAGUACGAGAGGACCGGAGUGGACGCAUCACUGGUGUUCGGGUUGUCAUGCCAAUGGCACUGCCCGGUAGCUAAAUGCGGAAGAGAUAAGUGCUGAAAGCAUCUAAGCACGAAACUUGCCCCGAGAUGAGUUCU
This 554-nucleotide ribosomal RNA is filed under the name Escherichia coli. RNAcentral's name for it is "partial 23S ribosomal RNA". It matches the Rfam family "Bacterial large subunit ribosomal RNA", at positions 2259 to 2812 of the family's 2925-position model. Lineage: Bacteria; Pseudomonadati; Pseudomonadota; Gammaproteobacteria; Enterobacterales; Enterobacteriaceae. The record is from RNAcentral.